RNAcentral lists this long non-coding RNA (587 nucleotides) under Homo sapiens (human). RNAcentral describes it as "HSALNT0357446". Lineage: Eukaryota; Metazoa; Chordata; Mammalia; Primates; Hominidae. The record is from RNAcentral.
AGCCGACCCAAGGGCCCCCGCAAGGAGCUGAAGGCGGCUGGAGCCCGAAUCGCCGCCGGCGUCGGCGCAGUCAAAGAAGAUGGCCACAGAGACAGCAGCGUGGUCAGAGUGGUAGGAGCCAGCCAUCGGCGAGAGCUGCUCCGUGCCUGGCUGCUGGGUGCUAGAGCCUGUGGCCCACUGGCUUGCCUCACUGUGAUUGGUGGUGGUGGUGACAGAGACUGCAGCACGACCAGAGUGGCUUUUCUGGCUUUGCCCGCCCAGCUGCUCCGUGCCAGGAGGAGAAGGAGACACCUAGAGCCUGUGACACCAUGACUUGCCUCGCUGCGGGUGGGUGGCAGCAAUGGAGACUGCAGUGCGCCAGAGCGUUCCAGAGUGUAUGAAGAACCAAAUGAUGUAAUUGUAUGUGACCUGGCUGUAGUGAAACAAAUUUGACUCUUAAGUAUGAAGGCUCUAAUUUUCCUGUCUGGUUUUGGUAAGUAUUCCUUACAUAGGUUUUUUCUUUGAAAAUCUGGGAUUGAGAGGUUGAUGAAUGAAAAUUAAUCCUUUCACUUUGUUGUAUAUAGGUUUGCAAUAAUUAGGUCAGAGUG